Molecule: ribosomal RNA, 465 nt
Filed under: uncultured bacterium
Lineage: Bacteria
Description: partial 16S ribosomal RNA
Rfam family: Bacterial small subunit ribosomal RNA
Source: RNAcentral
CCUACGGGAGGCAGCAGUGGGGAAUAUUGCGCAAUGGGCGAAAGCCUGACGCAGCGCCGCCGCUUGCGUUCUGCCUGUCUUCUUCUCCUCCCCCUCUUUCCGCCGUGCCGCCCGGUCCCUGUGCUAAUCAGCAGUGAAUUGACGGUACCUGCACAGGAAGCACCGGCUAACUCCGUGCCAGCCGCCGCGGUCCUCCGGAGGGUGCGAGCGUUACUCGGCCUUACUGGGCGUCCCGCGCUCGUAGGCGGUCUGUCAAGUCACGGGUGAAAUCCCCGCGCUCAACGUGGGAACUGCCUUUGCAACUGGCAAGCUGGAGUGUGUGAGAGGAGAGUAGAAUUCCAGGUGUAGGAGUGAAAUCCGUAGAGAUCUGGAGGAACAUCAGUGGCGAAGGCGACUAUCUGGCACAUGACUGACGCUGAGGAGCGAAAGCGUGGGUAGCAAACAGGAUUAGAUACCCCAGUAGUC